CUUGUCAAAAAAAAAGGAACUGAAUUUGCUUCAGUCUGUUUCUAAAAGGCUAAAAGGUUUAACGUUUAACGUCGUGCGACCAUUCAAUUUCCAAAAAAAGGUUUAACUAAACCACCAGCAAGAAGAAAAGACAUGUAAGUACGCUCUACACUUGAGUUUUGCCGGUUGAUAGAAUGUGGCAAUUGGAUCAGUCUGCCACUGUGGCAAUUGCCACAGCCAUUUGGCCCGUCAAACAUCUAAUUGAAGUCUCUAUUAUCAGACAAUGGAUGAUAAGCGGCGUGAAGACUUUGCGAAAGCUUUAUACGUGCUCGCCAACCAGGGCCCAAAGGAGCAGCGGCCGCCACGGUGUGAGCCCAGAGUGCAGCCGGUUAAUGGCAUUGUGCAGCCCCCGGUGAUGCCGCCACCCAAUCGUAAGGGAAGGGUCACCAAUUUCCUGUUGAAACUGAAAACCGCUGUGAAUGCGAUGUUGCGCAACCCUUCCUCGCUGCACUUUCGCCAUCCUGUCAAUGCUGUAAACCUGAAGAUCGGGGACUACCACGAAAAAAUCGCAAACCCCAUGGACUUGAACACAAUCAAGAAAAGAUUUGAGUACACAUACUACUGGGGCGGAGCAGACGUCCUGGAGGACAUUCUACUGAUUUUCGACAACUGCCGAACCUACAACAGUCCGGAUUCGCCCGUUUUUAAAGCUGCUGUCACCCUGUGCGAAGUCUUUUGGCUGCGCAUGGCGAAAAUGCAGAGGGAAUUGCACAAUGAGUGCAAGGCCGAGGCCAAGACCAGGUGUUCGCGGAAGGCCGCCAUUCCAUUGCCGAUAAAGAUUAAGGUGGAAAACAAGGAUGAGCCCCAGCUAAAGGCAGACGAUCCACCGCCCUCAUUUGAGGCCGUUCCCAAUCUACAACCGAAACCGUUCACGCCCGUGACACCGGCCCGUCGUGGUCGCGGCCGACCUCCGGGGCCGCGAAGUCUUACCCGAGCUGACGCCGAUAGAAAUGCUAUUAUCUCGCAAGCAUUUCCAGCGCUUCAGCGACCCACAAACUUCCUGAAGAACUACGGAACUCGAGUGAAAGUCGAACCACUCCCAGUGGAACCAGUGGAACCAGUGGAACCAUUGGAACCAGUCGAACCAGUCCUUGAUCGCCUCAGCUUAAAGGCUAUCCUGAAACCUUUUGAUCUGAAGAUCGAGCGCACAUACAGCCAGACACUGGUCAAUUCUCUACGUCGUUGUACGGACUCUUGGCCAUUCAACAAUUCGUCGAUCUGGACGCAUUUUGGACAAAAUCUAAAUUAUGACUUCCAUGAUGAGCCUCUGGAUUGGAACAUUCUGGAGAAGAUGCUGGCGGGCGAGCAGUUUAAGGGCUGGAACUGGAUGCUGAUUCAGUUACACGGAAUGCUGCAGAACGCAAUGUCCUGCUUCACCGAAUGCUAUUCGGUCCGCAAAGCGACACAGAAGACCUUCGAAACGUUUGUGGAAAUGAUACCUAAGUAUGAAGAACGCAUGGCGCACGUAAAGGCGACGGCUCAUGAAGAUGUUCGUUUGAAACUUGACGCCAUGACACCAUCUCAAAAAGAGGAACUCCUAAAAUAACUUGAAUUAUACAAGAAAGCAAACAUAAAUCAUUCUAAUUGGGUUUGUAACAGAAAUUUGAAUAAGGAACUAAGGCGCCAUCUAACGUGUUCGUUGCGAAGUACUCACUGCAUGCUUUCUAUCGAUAAUUUCAUUUAUCGCACAAAUAUACCGAUAAUAUAUUCUUUCUUUCUGGCAGUGAUGAAAUAUUUUACAAGAAUAAAC
RNAcentral lists this long non-coding RNA (1789 nucleotides) under Drosophila guanche. Lineage: Eukaryota; Metazoa; Arthropoda; Insecta; Diptera; Drosophilidae. The record is from RNAcentral.